Molecule: ribosomal RNA, 253 nt
Filed under: uncultured bacterium
Lineage: Bacteria
Description: partial 16S ribosomal RNA
Rfam family: Bacterial small subunit ribosomal RNA
Source: RNAcentral
GACGUAGGGCGCGAGCGUUGUCCGGAUUUAUUGGGCGUAAAGAGCUCGUAGGCGGUUUGUCGCGUCUGCUGUGAAAACCUGAGGCUCAACCUCGGGCUUGCAGUGGGUACGGGCAGACUAGAGUGCGGUAGGGGUGACUGGAAUUCCUGGUGUAGCGGUGGAAUGCGCAGAUAUCAGGAGGAACACCGAUGGCGAAGGCAGGUCACUGGGCCGCAACUGACGCUGAGGAGCGAAAGCAUGGGGAGCGAACAGG